Molecule: transfer RNA, 99 nt
Filed under: Streptomyces olivaceus
Lineage: Bacteria; Bacillati; Actinomycetota; Actinomycetes; Kitasatosporales; Streptomycetaceae
Description: tRNA-Gly
Source: RNAcentral
GCGUUCUCGUGGGCGAUGGCCAGGCCCAGGCCGCUGCCGCCGGUCCGGGGGCGUGCCGCGUCGGCCUUGUAGAAGCGUUCGAAGACGUACGGGAGCACG